UGGGGAAUAUUGGACAAUGGGCGAAAGCCUGAUCCAGCCAUGCCGCGUGUGUGAAGAAGGUCUUCGGAUUGUAAAGCACUUUAAGUUGGGAGGAAGGGUUGUAGAUUAAUACUCUGCAAUUUUGACGUUACCGACAGAAUAAGCACCGGCUAACUCUGUGCCAGCAGCCGCGGUAAUACAGAGGGUGCAAGCGUUAAUCAGAAUUACUGGGCGUAAAGCGCGCGUAGGUGGUUAGUUAAGUUGGAUGUGAAAUCCCCGGGCUCAACCUGGGAACUGCAUUCAAAACUGACUGACUAGAGUAUGGUAGAGGGUGGUGGAAUUUCCUGUGUAGCGGUGAAAUGCGUAGAUAUAGGAAGGAACACCAGUGGCGAAGGCGACCACCUGGGCUGAUACUGACACUGAGGUGCGAAAGCGUGGGGAGCAAACA
This 427-nucleotide ribosomal RNA is filed under the name uncultured bacterium. RNAcentral describes it as "partial 16S ribosomal RNA". It matches the Rfam family "Bacterial small subunit ribosomal RNA", at positions 355 to 774 of the family's 1533-position model. The record is from RNAcentral.